AUUGAACGCUGGCGGCAUGCCUUACACAUGCAAGUCGAACGGCAGCGGACCUUCGGGUGCCGGCGAGUGGCGAACGGGUGAGUAAUAUAUCGGAACGUACCUUUCAGUGGGGGAUAACGUAGCGAAAGUUACGCUAAUACCGCAUAUUCUGUGAGCAGGAAAGCAGGGGAUCGCAAGACCUUGCGCUGAUUGAGCGGCCGAUAUCAGAUUAGCUAGUUGGUGAGGUAAAGGCUCACCAAGGCGACGAUCUGUAGCGGGUCUGAGAGGAUGAUCCGCCACACUGGAGCUGAGACACGGUCCAGACUCCUACGGGAGGCAGCAGUGGGGAAUUUUGGACAAUGGGCGCAAGCCUGAUCCAGCCAUGCCGCGUGAGUGAAGAAGGCCUCGG
This 388-nucleotide ribosomal RNA is filed under the name uncultured bacterium. RNAcentral's name for it is "bacterial SSU rRNA". It matches the Rfam family "Bacterial small subunit ribosomal RNA", at positions 30 to 420 of the family's 1533-position model. The record is from RNAcentral.